GACGAACGCUGGCGGCGUGCUUAACACAUGCAAGUCGAACGGAAAGGCCCUGCUUUUGUGGGGUGCUCGAGUGGCGAACGGGUGAGUAACACGUGAGUAACCUGCCCUUGACUUUGGGAUAACUUCAGGAAACUGGGGCUAAUACCGGAUAGGGGCUUUUGCUGCAUGGUGGGGGUUGGAAAGUUUCGGCGGUUGGGGAUGGACUCGCGGCUUAUCAGCUUGUUGGUGGGGUAGUGGCUUACCAAGGCUUUGACGGGUAGCCGGCCUGAGAGGGUGACCGGCCACAUUGGGACUGAGAUACGGCCCAGACUCCUACGGGAGGCAGCAGUGGGGAAUAUUGCACAAUGGGCGGAAGCCUGAUGCAGCAACGCCGCGUGCGGGAUGACGGCCUUCGGGUUGUAAACCGCUUUCGCCUGUGACGAAGCGUGAGUGACGGUAAUGGGUAAAGAAGCACCGGCUAACUACGUG
This 468-nucleotide ribosomal RNA is filed under the name uncultured bacterium. Its description in RNAcentral is "partial 16S ribosomal RNA". It matches the Rfam family "Bacterial small subunit ribosomal RNA", at positions 28 to 507 of the family's 1533-position model. The record is from RNAcentral.